GCGCGAUUAGCUCAUUUGGUAGAGCGGCUCAUUGACGUUGAGCAGGCGGCAAGUUCAAAUCUUGCAUCGCGCACCA
Molecule: transfer RNA, 76 nt
Filed under: Candidatus Zambryskibacteria bacterium RIFCSPLOWO2_12_FULL_39_45
Lineage: Bacteria; Candidatus Zambryskiibacteriota
Description: tRNA-Val
Rfam family: tRNA
About the family: Transfer RNA (tRNA) molecules are approximately 80 nucleotides in length. Their secondary structure includes four short double-helical elements and three loops (D, anti-codon, and T loops).
Source: RNAcentral